RNAcentral lists this ribosomal RNA (324 nucleotides) under uncultured fungus. RNAcentral's name for it is "SSU rRNA". It matches the Rfam family "Eukaryotic small subunit ribosomal RNA", at positions 21 to 337 of the family's 1831-position model. Lineage: Eukaryota; Fungi. The record is from RNAcentral.
UGUAGUCAUAUGCUUGUCUCAAAGGUUAAGCCAUGCAUGUCUAAGUAUAAACAACUUUAUACUGUAAAACUGCGAACGGCUCAUUAUAUCAGCAAUAAUUUAUUUGAUGAUUUCUUACUACAUGGAUAACUGUAGUAAUUCUAGAGCUAAUACAUGCGCAAAGUCCUAACUCGCGAGGGGAGGGAUGUAUUUAUUAGAUACAAAACCAAUGCGGGUUCUGCCCGCCAUUGUGUUGAAUCAUAGUAACUUAUCGAACGCCAUAGCCUUGUGCUGGGCGUAGAUCAUUCAAAUUUCUGCCCUAUCAGCUUUCGACGGUAGUGUAGU